Molecule: ribosomal RNA, 429 nt
Filed under: Gemmatimonadota bacterium
Lineage: Bacteria; Pseudomonadati; Gemmatimonadota
Description: Gemmatimonadetes bacterium partial 16S ribosomal RNA
Rfam family: Bacterial small subunit ribosomal RNA
Source: RNAcentral
UAGGGAAUCUUCGGCAAUGGACGAAAGUCUGACCGAGCAACGCCGCGUGAGUGAAGAAGGUUUUCGGAUCGUAAAACUCUGUUGUUAGAGAAGAACAAGGACGUUAGUAACUGAACGUCCCCUGACGGUAUCUAACCAGAAAGCCACGGCUAACUACGUGCCAGCAGCCGCGGUAAUACGUAGGUGGCAAGCGUUGUCCGGAUUUAUUGGGCGUAAAGCGAGCGCAGGCGGUUUCUUAAGUCUGAUGUGAAAGCCCCCGGCUCAACCGUGGAGGGUCAUUGGAAACUGGGAGGCUUGAGUGCAGAAGAGGAGAGUGGAAUUCCAUGUGUAGCGGUGAAAUGCGUAGCUAUAUGGAGGAACACCAGUGGCGAAGGCGGCUCUCUGGUCUGUAACUGACGCUGAGGCUCGAAAGCGUGGGGAGCAAACAGG